RNAcentral lists this ribosomal RNA (660 nucleotides) under Paratimea rosacea. RNAcentral's name for it is "partial 28S ribosomal RNA". It matches the Rfam family "Eukaryotic large subunit ribosomal RNA", at positions 659 to 1290 of the family's 3401-position model. The record is from RNAcentral. Lineage: Eukaryota; Metazoa; Porifera; Demospongiae; Tethyida; Hemiasterellidae.
ACCCGGACCAAGGAGUGCCAGAGGCGUGCGAGUCCUUGGGUUAUGCACGAGAUCCUGGGGCACAAUGAAAGUGAAGGGGACCACGCGUUCCCGAGGCGAGAGCCUGCCUGUGUUGCGGGGCCCAUCGUCGACCGAUCCCGGGCUGCUCUGCGGUGGGAUUCGAGUGGGAGCAUGCCUGUUGCGACCCGAAAGAUGGUGAACUAUGCCUGAAUAGGGCGAAGCCAGAGGAAACUCUGGUGGAAGCUCGCAGCGGUUCUGACGUGCAAAUCGAUCGUCAAAUUUGGGUAUAGGGGCGAAAGACUAAUCGAACCGUCUAGUAGCUGGUUCCCUCCGAAGUUUCCCCCAGGAUAGCUGGAGCCCGGUGCAGUUUUAUCAGGUAAAGCGAAUGAUUAGAGGUCUUGGGGUUGAAACAACCUCAACCUAUUCUCAAACUUUAAAUGGGUAAGAAGCUCGGCUUGCUCGGUUGAAGUCGGGCGUUGGAAUGCCGGGGCUCCUAGUGGGCCAUUUUUGGUAAGCAGAACUGGCGAUGCGGGAUGAACCGAACGCUGGGUUAAGGUGCCCGAAUCGACGCUCAUCAGAUCCCAUAAAAGGUGUUGGUUGAUCUAGACAGCAGGACGGUGGCCAUGGAAGUCGGAACCCGCUAAGGAGUGUGUAACAACU